CCUACGGGGGACAGCAGUGAGGAAUAUUGGUCAAUGGGCGGGAGCCUGAACCAGCCAAGCCGCGUGAGGGAAGAAGCUACAGCGUAUCGUAAACCUCUUUUGUCAGGGAACAAACGCGGGUACUAGUCCCCGGCUGAGGGUACCUUACGAAAAAGCAUCGGCUAACUCCGUGCCAGCAGCCGCGGUAAUACGGAGGAUUCGAGCGUUAUCCGGAUUUAUUGGGUUUAAAGGGUGCGCAGGCGGCCUGUUAAGUCAGCGGUAAAAGCCCGGGGCUCAACCCCGGCGAGCCGUUGAAACUGGCGGGCUGGAGGUGGAGAGAAGGACGCGGAAUGGGCGG
This 337-nucleotide ribosomal RNA is filed under the name uncultured bacterium. Its description in RNAcentral is "partial 16S ribosomal RNA". It matches the Rfam family "Bacterial small subunit ribosomal RNA", at positions 338 to 673 of the family's 1533-position model. The record is from RNAcentral.